Molecule: ribosomal RNA, 497 nt
Filed under: uncultured bacterium
Lineage: Bacteria
Description: partial 16S ribosomal RNA
Rfam family: Bacterial small subunit ribosomal RNA
Source: RNAcentral
GAUGAACGCUGGCGGCGUGCCUAACACAUGCAAGUCGAGCGGACGGACGCGAAGCUUGUGUCUCUGCUGUUAGCGGCGGGCGGGUGAGUCACGCGUGGAUAACCUCCUUAUAUUUCGGGGAUAAUUACGGGACACCGGAUCUAAUACCAGAUCAUAUUUUGAACCGCGGGGUGCAUAAGAGAAAGUCGGCCUUGGUGUCACUAAUAGCUGGUUCCGAGCUGCAUUAGCUGGUUGGUAAGGUAACGGCUUACCAAGGCUACGAUGCAUAGCCGAGCUGAGAGGCUGAUCGGCCACACUGGAACUGAGACACGGUCCAGACUCCUACGGGAGGCAGCAGUAGGGAAUCUUCGGCAAUGGGCGAAAGCCUGACGCAGCAAUGCCGCGUGAGUGAUGAAGGUCUUCGGAUCGUAAAGCUCUGUUAUUAGGGAAGAACAGAUGUGUAAGUAAACGUGGACAUCGUGACGGUACCUAAUCAAAAAGCACCGGCUAACUACGUG